GACGAACGCUGGCGGCGUGCUUAACACAUGCAAGUCGUACGGUAAGGCCCUUUCGGGGGUCCACGAGUGGCGAACGGGUGAGUAACACGUGAGUAACCUGCCCACAACUUUGGGAUAACGCUAGGAAACUGGUGCUAAUACUGGAUAUGUGCUCCUGCUGCAUGGUGGGGGUUGGAAAGCUCCGGCGGUUGUGGAUGGACUCGCGGCCUAUCAGCUUGUUGGUGGGGUAGUGGCCUACCAAGGCGGCGACGGGUAGCCGGCCUGAGAGGGUGACCGGCCACAUUGGGACUGAGAUACGGCCCAGACUCCUACGGGAGGCAGCAGUGGGGAAUAUUGCACAAGGGGCGCAAGCCUGAUGCAGCAACGCCGCGUGCGGGAUGACGGCCUUCGGGUUGUAAAACGCUUUCAGCAGGGACGAAGCUUUUUGUGACGGUACCUGCAGAAGAAGCACCGGCUAACUACGUG
This 465-nucleotide ribosomal RNA is filed under the name uncultured bacterium. RNAcentral describes it as "partial 16S ribosomal RNA". It matches the Rfam family "Bacterial small subunit ribosomal RNA", at positions 28 to 507 of the family's 1533-position model. The record is from RNAcentral.